This 460-nucleotide ribosomal RNA is filed under the name uncultured bacterium. Its description in RNAcentral is "bacterial SSU rRNA". It matches the Rfam family "Bacterial small subunit ribosomal RNA", at positions 335 to 784 of the family's 1533-position model. The record is from RNAcentral.
ACUCCUACGGGAGGCAGCAGUAGGGAAUCUUCCACAAUGGGCGCAAGCCUGAUGGAGCAACACCGCGUGAGUGAAGAAGGGUUUCGGCUCGUAAAGCUCUGUUGUUAAAGAAGAACACGUAUGAGAGUAACUGUUCAUACGUUGACGGUAUUAACCAGAAAGUCACGGCUAACUACGUGCCAGCAGCCGCGGUAAUACGUAGGUGGCAAGCGUUAUCCGGAUUUAUUGGGCGUAAAGAGAGUGCAGGCGGUUUUCUAAGUCUGAUGUGAAAGCCUUCGGCUUAACCGGAGAAGUGCAUCGGAAACUGGAUAACUUGAGUGCAGAAGAGGGUAGUGGAACUCCAUGUGUAGCGGUGGAAUGCGUAGAUAUAUGGAAAGAACACCAGUGGCGAAGGCGGCUACCUGGUCUGCAACUGACGCUGAGACUCGAAAGGCAUGGGUAAGCGAACAGGAUUACGAUA